This 595-nucleotide ribosomal RNA is filed under the name Fusarium oxysporum. RNAcentral's name for it is "eukaryotic LSU rRNA". It matches the Rfam family "Eukaryotic large subunit ribosomal RNA", at positions 1 to 606 of the family's 3401-position model. Lineage: Eukaryota; Fungi; Ascomycota; Sordariomycetes; Hypocreales; Nectriaceae. The record is from RNAcentral.
UUGACCUCGGAUCAGGUAGGAAUACCCGCUGAACUUAAGCAUAUCAAUAAGCGGAGGAAAAGAAACCAACAGGGAUUGCCCUAGUAACGGCGAGUGAAGCGGCAACAGCUCAAAUUUGAAAUCUGGCUCUCGGGCCCGAGUUGUAAUUUGUAGAGGAUACUUUUGAUGCGGUGCCUUCCGAGUUCCCUGGAACGGGACGCCAUAGAGGGUGAGAGCCCCGUCUGGUUGGAUGCCAAAUCUCUGUAAAGUUCCUUCAACGAGUCGAGUAGUUUGGGAAUGCUGCUCUAAAUGGGAGGUAUAUGUCUUCUAAAGCUAAAUACCGGCCAGAGACCGAUAGCGCACAAGUAGAGUGAUCGAAAGAUGAAAAGCACUUUGAAAAGAGAGUUAAAAAGUACGUGAAAUUGUUGAAAGGGAAGCGUUUAUGACCAGACUUGGGCUUGGUUAAUCAUCUGGGGUUCUCCCCAGUGCACUUUUCCAGUCCAGGCCAGCAUCAGUUUUCCCCGGGGGAUAAAGGCGGCGGGAAUGUGGCUCUCUUCGGGGAGUGUUAUAGCCCACCGUGUAAUACCCUGGGGGGGACUGAGGUUCGCGCAUCUGC